UAACUGCCUGUGUGAACACUGACACAAGAUGUCCAAUGUGGCAAUCAUGGGGUGAAUGUCAAGCUAACAGAAUUUGGAUGUCAAAACAUUGUAGAAAGAGUUGUGCUAACUGUCAGGGUAAGUCGAUCUUCAGGUUUCCCUGCAUGGGCGUCAAUCCUGGGGGGGGGGAUGCGUCCCCCCAGUUUUUGGAGUGUGGGGACGAAUAUCUAAUUAUCCCCCCCCCCCCACACUUUUUAACAUGUUUAAUGAAAUUUUGUUUCUUGGUAGUCUAAAAACCUAAUCCCUGGUAUGCUAUUCAUCCAGACUUGUGGUUGGAACGAAGACAUUUAAUAAGAUGAAGUUAUUACAACGUAUGACCUUUCUGUAGCCGCUGGGAGCAAAUACUGACAUCGCAUAUGUUAUUGAAUGCUAAAUUUGUACAUGUGUUGUAAUUUUAUAAACAUUUACAUAAAGGCAUGCACUAUUUGUCAUUUUCACUUCCUGUUCUAACUGGCAAGCUGCACUGAAUGAGACAAUAAUUCGUUUUGCUUGUUUUUUGCCUAAUUGUUUUUUAUUAUUAUUACGCCCGUAAAAAGUAUUUAGAAGUUAUUUACAUUUUGUUUUUCUAUUUUGAAUAGGCUAGAGACCUUCUAGAAACCUAGCAGGCUUUUUAAUUAAGACUCCUUUAAUACAUUAUUUCAUUCUUAUAUUUAGUCAGUUCGAAUUAUUAUAUUGAACAAGGAUAAAAGUAUAUAUAACAUAAACAUGCAUAUUAACUUAAUUAUAUAUAUUCGAAGUGGAAGAUAUUAUAUAUAUAUAUAUAUAUAUUGUAUAUUUACAGUAAAGAAGGACUGAUAAUAUAUUUUAAACUUUAUACAUCAAUUAUUGAGCUAAUGAGUAAUGGACAUAAUCGUAAUUUACUAAUUUAACGACUAAAUUAAGAUUUAAGACUAGAUAGUUUUAUUUUACCAUUUUCAAAAGUUCAAAUAGAGUGAAAUAUUAAGGCUAAACAUUCCAUUUUUGUAGUUUCUCGCCUGACUCCAAUUAAAAGUUGUAGACAUAGCAUUGCAAUCUAACCAAAUGAAUAACUAACAACUAAUAUUUUUAACAACUUUGAUGUGCUUUAUCACACUUGCACAACCUUGUUUUUUGCGGAUUUCUCACAUGGUUAAAAAUGGAUUUAAGAUCAUGCACUUUGUACUAUAACUUUACAAGUUUCUCCAAAACGCUGGAAAUACCAUUUCAGGGUACCAAAAUUUUAAAAACAUUUCGGGUAUUCCGCCCCCCCCCCCCCACGUUUUGGGAUGGAUUGACGCCCUUGAUUCCCUGUUUCACAACUAACCUCCAAUUGGCUCCAAAAUUAUUUUUGCUGUGGGUAAUAUUUCCAUUAUUCUCUAAAGAAAUGUAAUACUUUAGUGGAGAGAUAAUUAAUGACAAGUAAAUCGGGCACAGUUUAUGUGUGACCUUAAAAUUUAUAUAAAGGACAUUAAUUGAAAAUAAAAUUUAUUUGAUCUAGUUAGGAAAGUCUCUUAAAAAAUACUCUUUAAAUAACAACUGUCUUCGUUUUCAAAAUGUUUCAGUUUGUUUAUUAUGUAAAUGAGCUGAAUCUAUUGCGUCAUAGGCAGGGUACAAAUUUUGGAAUACAGAAAAAAUACCUUCUCAAUCUCAGUUUGUCCGGUUGUCCCAAUUUUUGUUUACAUUUUUGAGAGAUGGUUUCUUUUCAAUUUAAUGAUAUUCGCGUAGGAAAAAAGCAUUCUCAUUAGAAUGACAAUAAAAUCGAAAUAGUGUGCAUCUCUUUACCAUGGUUCCAGAGGCUCUUUGCGAGGCGAAAUAAACGAGAGGCGAGAAGGAAGAGUCUCUGGUCACAUCGGUUGCAAAUCCCAUUUCCACACUUGAUUAGGUUUAGUAUUUGAAUCUCGCAUGUGUUUGGCCAUUUGUAAAAAUAUGUCAAACCGGUUUGGGAAAUAAGCAUUACAGCUGUAAGCUAAUUAGGGGCGGACCAUUUGACUUUUGAGGGGGGGGGUGGACGAUUUCGAAAAAAAAAUUCCUGCAACCCCAAGGAGAAAGAAAAAGAAUCAUGCAGCAUAGAUUCGAGAAAAAAGUAUAUCAUGCAAAAGAGAGCGCUCAAAAACCAAAAUUCCUACAUGUAACUCUACUGACCAACUGAUGCUCUUCACUUCAGUAUUGUGUCCACAGGCUUGCGAGAUUUUGCAUUUUUGAGCAGGCACAUUUGCUUAAAAGAACACGGGGUGAACAGUGGACAACAUCACAGGGAUUCUACCGCCUUUGGAGCAUCUAGGCUCUAACAUACGAUAGCCAGUGGCGUUCCCUGGCAUUGUUGCCCCCCCCCCCCCUGAGAAAAUCUGGGCUUAAGAUAUGUACAAGUUUAUAAGUUAUUUAUACAUAUCUAAUAUGCAUGGUAGAAAGUUUUUUUGGAUGGUCGAGUCUGUGUGCGUUUUUUUGAUAACAUAGCUCCACUAUUAAAGCUUCAAAGGCCCAUCUACAGGAUGCAAGUUGGACGUACUGUAUACACUACACGAUGAUUUUAAUCCGAAAAUGCCAGUUUAGAGAGUCUAGAUUUUAAAAAAAUUCUGAAGAGGAUGCAACCCGAUCCCCAAGUCAAGCUAUCUGUAUGAACGACUGGAAAGCUACAGAGCUAUAUUUGGUGGAACAUUGUUGUUUCGGAGGGCAGUUAAAAAUCGCAUUAUUGAAAUCUUGUUUUAUUACAUAUUAAUCAAAGCUCAUUUUGUGAUUUUCCCUUGUUUAAAGUAAGGGACAGUAAGUGUUCCUUAGGCUUAGUACAGCAAAGUUGUUGUGGACGAAUCCAUGGCUGAAAAUGCAGGGAAUAGCAUUUCCGAGGUUCAAAUUUUAAAAUUUUCUCGGGGGAGCAUUCCCCGAACCCCCAAGGUUACAGGUCAUUCAUAUACUGUACCCUCCCCCCAUUUUCGAGUACUCCACUCUAUCCCUGCAUGUUUUAGGUUUUGGUGCAGUUAUACAUUUUUUGUAAGUAAACUUGCACGCUUCAACGCGGGGAACAUUAAGACAUAACCAUAUAAAAUAAAGCACAGUGAAAAUUCCUUGGGCCCUCUUGGGAUUCAGUUCUCGGCCUCCUCUGGCUGAAAACCCUGGCUACGUCUCCGAUGAUAGCUAUAUGAAAGUCUUAAGUUACUGUAAGCCGUUAUUUUGAGAAGCAAAAAAAAAUAUCCUGCCGCGAAAUAUAUUGGGGAAAAAAUAUCUUGCGCUGCACUUUUAUAGGAAAAAGAAUAUCUGUCUCGUUUGCCUGGGCGAUAAAAAAAAUUCUUGCACAGUCUGAAUCUUCCAACCCCCCCCCCCAAAAAAAAAAGUCAAAUGGUCCGCCCCUUGUAGCUAUAAAUAUAGCUAUAAUUAGCUUACAGUAAUGUUUAUUUCCCAAUUUCCCAAACCGUUUUGACAUAUUUUUACAAAUGGCCAAUCACAUGCGAGAUUCAAAUAAUGAACCUAAUCAAGUGUGGAAGUGGGACUUGCAACCGAAUGUGACCAGAGGCUCCUCCUUCUCGCCUCUCGUUUCUUCGCCUCGCAAAGAGCCUCUGGAACCAGGAUAACAUAUCUUUAAACUGUCAAAAGCUGAAACGUUCCACGUGGUUUAGCAUGUUAAUUAAAGCAGCAAAGAUUUUCGCACGUAUAGGCUACAGUAUUAUUUUUGUGAGAAUUUGAAACAUCAGAAAGUUUAGAAAAAUCACAAAGUACAAUUAUUUUUGGCUGUGAUAUUUAAACAUCAAAUAAAAUGAAAUAUCUUGAAGAAACGAGUAAAGGCAAAUGUUAAAAAGUGUACAAGAACUAGUAUAUAAUAUUACAGAUUUAAGAUUUCUUUCUAACUAUAGAUCAAGUGUGACUGUGUGUAAAAUUAUGUUGCAAAUGUCCUUUGAUAUACUGUAUUGCCUAUAGGUAAUACAUUUUUUUUGAAAAUUGGAAAGAUUUCCCUACCAAAAUUUAUACCCUCGUAUUAACAUUGAACGCGCGUUUUAUACAUUUUCGUCCCCUCCUCAAAUGUAAGAUUUCGCUAAUUUCUUUUCACCUCAAGGGAUUACAAAAUUAAUGACACAAUAUAAUCUAUUUCAAAAUGUUCAUAACCAUUGUUUGGUUGGUUGGAGUAUAUUUAGCCAUACGCUACUGUAAGUUAGUCACAGACAUUUCUCAAGGCAACUUGAGGGUGACUAUUUUGAGGGAGUAAAAGAUUGACGUAGGGUUCGAAUACCUUGAUCUUUAGAUUCAGAUGUGAAGCUUUUCUUCCAAGAAUUCAACCUUCUCUUAAUCACUCGAAAUUUGGGUUUGGACACUCAGGCAGGAAUGGAGUUUCUUUGUCUCACUGGGAUAUUACUAUCUAUGUUGUUGUUGGUAUCAGGAAGGAUGAGAAACUGUUGGAACUUUGGUUUAUUGUUUUUACUAUAUUAUUCUCAACACAAGGUACAUGUAUUUCUACAUUGUGGUCUGCGGAGCUGCAACUUACAUAAAUUAUUACCUCCGCCAGGUUAUGUUUUCGGGCAUUUGAAAUUAAAGGCA
RNAcentral lists this long non-coding RNA (4518 nucleotides) under Paramuricea clavata. Lineage: Eukaryota; Metazoa; Cnidaria; Anthozoa; Malacalcyonacea; Plexauridae. The record is from RNAcentral.